This 492-nucleotide ribosomal RNA is filed under the name uncultured bacterium. Its description in RNAcentral is "bacterial SSU rRNA". It matches the Rfam family "Bacterial small subunit ribosomal RNA", at positions 28 to 520 of the family's 1533-position model. The record is from RNAcentral.
GAUGAACGCUGGCGGCGUGCCUAACACAUGCAAGUCGAGCGGGAUCUUGCUAAAUGACGCUUCGGUUGAUUUUAGUAAGUGAGAGCGGCGGACGGGUGAGUAACGCGUAGGCAACCUGCCCUUUGCAGAGGGAUAGCCAUUGGAAACGAUGAUUAAAACCUCAUAAUGCCAGACUGAGACAUCUCUAACUGGCCAAAGAUUUAUCGGCAAAGGAUGGGCCUGCGUCUGAUUAGCUAGUUGGUGGGGUAACGGCCUACCAAGGCGACGAUCAGUAGCCGACCUGAGAGGGUGAUCGGCCACAUUGGAACUGAGACACGGUCCAAACUCCUACGGGAGGCAGCAGUGGGGAAUAUUGCACAAUGGGCGAAAGCCUGAUGCAGCAACGCCGCGUGAAGGAAGAAGGUCUUCGGAUCGUAAACUUCUGUCCUUAGGGAAGAUAAUGACGGUACCUUUGGAGGAAGCCCCGGCUAACUACGUGCCAGCAGCCGACGG